This 24-nucleotide non-coding RNA is filed under the name Arabidopsis thaliana (thale cress). The record is from RNAcentral. Lineage: Eukaryota; Viridiplantae; Streptophyta; Magnoliopsida; Brassicales; Brassicaceae.
CGGAAAAUGCAACUACUCUGAUGC